GAGAGAGAGAGAGAGAGAGAGAGAGAGAGAGAGGCUGGGGUUAGUGUGAGAGGGAGGAGGGAACUGGCCGAGGGAGGGGUGCUAGGUUGUUAGGAGGGGAAGAGGCUAAUUUUUUUUGAAAAAUAGCUCUAAAUGCCACCCUUUUUAUAAUUUUAAAUGAAAAUACCACCCCUCCCCAAUUUUUUUGCAACUAUCACCUAUAAAUAUAUUUAUUGUCCACUUAUUGCACACAUAUCACAUUUGUUGAAAUUUUGGUCUCUCUCAACUCGCUUAGCUCCCUAUUCACACACACACACUCACUCACUCUCUCUCUUUCUCUCUCUCUCUCUCUCUCUCUCUCUCUCUCUCUCUCUCUCUCUCUCCCCCUAUUCGCUUCCUCGCGCAGCUCUCUCUCGCUCUCUCUCUCUCCCUAUUCGCUUC
This 420-nucleotide small RNA is filed under the name Prunus dulcis (almond). RNAcentral's name for it is "sRNA ncRNA". The record is from RNAcentral. Lineage: Eukaryota; Viridiplantae; Streptophyta; Magnoliopsida; Rosales; Rosaceae.